UUGAAAUAGUUAUAUAAAAAGAGUUUAAAAAAUUGAAACGUUAAGACUCUCUAGGAAGCCUCGCCUGAGAAGUUCUUUCUUAAACAGUUUGAACACACUGACAAAACUUGUUUGCAAAUGUUUCGUGAAAAAUCCCUUGAUAAAUGUAACGGAUGGUAGUUUCUGUAGAAGUGCACUAAGCUGGUUGCUGCAUUCUAUUCUUCAUUUUGGCAAUAGAGUCACAUUUGCGUAACAGGACACAGGAGAGUACGAGGCCGAAGGUAAGACUCUCUAGGAAGCCUAAAGAUGCACCAAAUGCAAGUCUUGAAUGCAGUAAUGAUUCAGCACGCACAUGUAUUGUGGAGCAGGCUGAUCAUGUGAGUCCCGAGGGACACUGUCCAUCUGCAGAUGACAUUAGACAGUUACUGUCUGAAAGGAACAAAAAGGGGAAUGGAACAACAUCAAGUUUUGCUGAACUCUCAGAAAGAGUGAAACUGCUUCGAAUUUCCAGUUCCUUGUCUGAAGAUGAGGUGCGCAUAUUGAAGUUUGUUGCCAGAAGCAAACUGAAAGUGGAUGCUCAUCGAUGUAAGGAGAUCAAAGAUGGUUUAGAAUUGUUUGAAGAAUUAGAGAACAACGGAGGACUCAGCCAUAUCUGUGUUGGAGAACUUCUCAUAGGCAUUCAUCGUUUUGAUCUUGUCGAUAUACUAGCUCGACCUGGAACUGGUAACAGUUGUGGUAAAGUACAACAUACCCAUUGAGCCCUCUGGCAAACUGGAUAUCGAAACAUACCUGGAGAGGAUUGGCCACAAUGGCAGAUCUAGCAAGGUCAGCGUACGUCGAUGGCGAUCAUAAAGAAAAUCGAAGAACACUUUCGAUACUAUGGUUUUUGGGGACUAAUAAUAUUGAUGUAUUGGAGGAAAUAGCGAGCUGGCUCCGCAAUUAAUUUAACAACGGUUUCCGUUUUAAAUACAUCUUCUGUUAUCGUCAGUUGCAACUGGAAUUAAUUUGAACAUACUAGUCAUAUACAAGUUUUAUAAAAUAGGUGUUACCUAAAAUAACUUACAUAACUCGUAUCUACGUGGAAAUGAAGCCAAGACAGAAAGUUAUUUCCAUUUUGUCGUAAACAUUAUAGGCACAACUCAAUUUAAUACUCGGAAUGACGUUUAUACGUUAAUAUAUUAAUUACUAAGUUAUGCAUUAAUUAUUAAGUUAUGGUUAUUGUUAAGGACACUAGACAAAGGCCAAUUUUGAUAAGUUAAUAAUUGUCUCUAUAUCUUAGUUACGAACGUAGUUACAAUGUUUCCUUUGUUCAACUGGGACCGAUAUGUGAGUACCUUUGUCAUUUUGAUUAGGUAACGUUUUUAUAGUAAUGGGCGAAAGAAUACAAUGGAACAUAUGUACAACGUUAAUUGUUUUAUAAUCGUCUAAAUUAGAGAAUGUUCUUUUAAAAACGUUACUAGAGUGAACGCCCACCUUUUAGGUUCGUGAGCAUUAAACUGUUAAUCAGUUCCUUUUGUUGUGUAAUUCUGUGAUUGAAUCUUAUUUAGUAUCUUAGCGUAGUAUUUAUGCUGGCUAUUUUUGAUGUAUUGUUAUUCAAUUUCGUUAUGUUAUCGACUCGAAAUCGUUAGUUUGUCUCGUGUAGGUUUUAACUGUUUGUGACGCAACUUUUCGCUAAAUUGAUAGAAAUUUGUUACAUCUUGUUAUUUCAGUUAACGAUCGUUUAUUUUGAUGCAAUAAAUCGCCGAUAAAGGUCAACUUUGGUUUUCCGUGGUUUACUUGUCUACCCUUGAAGACGACCUGUGAAGUAGUCCCACCCACUAGUUUGUCGCGACACGCCUUGAGCUCGUUUUGUUUCGUCUCGUUUUGGAAUUUGCCAGUCGCUGCAAGCGCAACAGUUAUACUGUGUUGUGGUUUCUCACUGUACAACAUUACGGUGUUAUUAUUGUCUUACUACUGUCUUGUCUGUUCAAUUGUUAUUUAACCACAGGCAGUCCAAGC
This is a long non-coding RNA of Orbicella faveolata, 1977 nucleotides long. NCBI's taxonomy places the organism in Eukaryota, Metazoa, Cnidaria, Anthozoa, Scleractinia, Merulinidae. The record is from RefSeq and is a predicted model, not a curated record.